This 497-nucleotide ribosomal RNA is filed under the name uncultured bacterium. RNAcentral's name for it is "partial 16S ribosomal RNA". It matches the Rfam family "Bacterial small subunit ribosomal RNA", at positions 28 to 507 of the family's 1533-position model. The record is from RNAcentral.
GAUGAACGCUGGCGGCGUGCCUAAUACAUGCAAGUCGAGCGAACAGACGAGGAGCUUGCUCCUUUGACGUUAGCGGCGGACGGGUGAGUAACACGUGGGUAACCUACCUAUAAGACUGGGAUAACUUCGGGAAACCGGAGCUAAUACCGGAUAAUAUUUCGAACCGCAUGGUUCGAUAGUGAAAGAUGGCUUUGCUAUCACUUAUAGAUGGACCUGCGCCGUAUUAGCUAGUUGGUAAGGUAACGGCUUACCAAGGCAACGAUACGUAGCCGACCUGAGAGGGUGAUCGGCCACACUGGAGCUGAGACACGGUCCAGACUCCUACGGGAGGCAGCAGUAGGGAAUCUUCCGCAAUGGGCGAAAGCCUGACGGAGCAACGCCGCGUGAGUGAUGAAGGUCUUCGGAUCGUAAAACUCUGUUAUUAGGGAAGAACAAACGUGUAAGGAACUGUGCACGUCUUGACGGUACCUAAUCAGAAAGCCACGGCUAACUACGUG